Molecule: long non-coding RNA, 1789 nt
Organism: Pseudoliparis swirei
Lineage: Eukaryota; Metazoa; Chordata; Actinopteri; Perciformes; Liparidae
Exons: 2
Source: RefSeq, a predicted model, not a curated record
GACUGUUAGAGGCUGCCAGAGGAAGUCAUGGGAGCCACUCUAUUACACAGCAGUCUCUAUAUGGUUCUGAUCCUCCCCCUAUUACCUCCUCGUUCCUUCCAAAUCCUUGAGCAUUGUCUGGGCUUCCUCACUGCGCACUUACUACUGCAACUAACGACCAAAAACUGACAUGAAGAUUUUAUGAAAGAAUGUUUGCAGAUUGGAUUCAGCAGUGUAAACAAAAAAUGUUUUAAGUGGAAACAAGUAACACGUUGACAGUAUUGUGCGUCAAAUCUGCAGCAGGAGCACGUCGGACUGUUGGCAAGGUACAACGUCUGAGCUGUUGGGCGAAAGCAGUCAAAGCAGCAAUUCGAUGGUUAAUGUAGUCUAAAAUAAUUGACGCGCUGGCCUCAGCUCCUUGGAGAGGAAUGAGCAAAAGUUUGGAGUGGUGUAUGACCUCAUGUGCAACAGCCGAGGGGAAUACUACAUCGGUAGAAGGCCUCUUGACAAAAGACUGCAAGAAAAUGGCAAACAGAGGACAUGAGCCGUCGAACAGAACCAACUGGGAUGAAAGCCAUCGACCAAGAGUCAGUUGACAGUACCAAGGACCACGAUGAUCCAACCUUUACGGGAUUAUGUUUAAAAGCAUGGCUCUCUGUUGAAUCGUGUAUUUCUAAUCUGCUGGGAACAGAUGUGAGACAGUUGGUCCUCAGAUGACAGCUCUGAUUGCAUCGACUAGUUUGAUGGGGAGAUUGAUAACACCAACAUGCUUCAAUUCACCCCUGCCAUCACACGUUGUAAUAAGCAGAUAGCAGGAAGAUCAACUCAAUAAAAAGUCACAAUUCCCACAAGAAUAGUCAAAACUGCUCCACCAUUUCAUCCUGAAUUCCCCGUAAGGUAAUUUCACACAUGUUCUUCGUAAAUGUGGAAAAGCGCUUACGCAGGCCGACGCUGACCACACUGCCUGGCCAGCAGUCCACAGCAGCCUUUGUUUGCAGAGACCUGGUUCAUCAUAAAACCACAUCCAUGCUUUUUUUUCGCUGAUUUAGUCGAUCACAAAAUCCACCUCACUGCCUUUAUGUGGAAAACUGAACUAGCAACUGCUGGCUGUCCAAACAACAGGCGAAGUGCUGAAGCAGGGGUCAUUCAUCAUGAGGUAAGCACUAUAGCAACCACACUGCUCAGGUGACUGGGCCCGUGGGAUAAAGCCCCCAUCAUGACACAACACUUUUCUCUCUGCAGCUUUACAGCUCCAAAACAUUCACAGACGAGCUCAAACAGGCCAUAAAAGUAGCUAAAAACACCUAAAUCUAGAGAAAGAGGGAUUCUGGGCCAAGGACCAUGCAGGUGUUCUUCCUGUUGAGUUUGAUUCUUUUUUUUUUAAACCAGGAAGUUCUUUAAAAAUAGCCACGAUAACUGCUGCUUUGUUCCCAUCUCACGUCCUGAACUGAGGUCACAUCCAACUGUUAACUGUGCAUUGUUUGCAUAUUUGGUAUAAGUACUUUGAAAAAUAAUUCUCAGUCAAUCAACUGUACCAAAUGAUGUUGUGGAACCUGUUCGGUUAUCCGGUUCCCCUCCCAACCAUCAACAUGACCGGUAGAGCCUCAGCAGCUGCUACGCUUUGUUAAAAGUAUGUCACAGGUUACAGUGUCCAGAUUACUAUCUCAAGUCUUUGUCUCACGCUCUCUCCCAUGCAGGGCAAAUGGAGAUUGCGCUCAGGGACACGAGGAGUGAGUUCAUAAAAUUAACCCUCAAUACAUAUUUUGUCACCUGUGAUUGGUUCUUGAUGUGUAAUAAAGGCUGAGAGUGA